This 301-nucleotide ribosomal RNA is filed under the name uncultured bacterium. RNAcentral describes it as "partial 16S ribosomal RNA". It matches the Rfam family "Bacterial small subunit ribosomal RNA", at positions 509 to 807 of the family's 1533-position model. The record is from RNAcentral.
CAGCCGCCGCGGUAACACCGAGGGUGCGAGCGUUAAUCGGAUUUACUGGGCGUAAAGCGUGCGUAGGCGGCUUUUUAAGUCGGAUGUGAAAUCCCUGAGCUUAACUUAGGAAUUGCAUUCGAUACUGGGAAGCUAGAGUAUGGGAGAGGAUGGUAGAAUUCCAGGUGUAGCGGUGAAAUGCGUAGAGAUCUGGAGGAAUACCGAUGGCGAAGGCAGCCAUCUGGCCUAAUACUGACGCUGAGGUACGAAAGCAUGGGGAGCAAACAGGAUUAGAGACCCCCGUAGUCCCUGUCUCUUAUAC